CGCCGCGUACGCCGUGGCGGGCGGGCUGGCGCUCGCGCUGCCCGCGGUCGCGUCCGGUCGCACGGCCCGCGGUACGGCGUCCACCGGGGCGCCCA
This 95-nucleotide transfer RNA is filed under the name Promicromonospora citrea. Its description in RNAcentral is "tRNA-Ala". The record is from RNAcentral. Lineage: Bacteria; Bacillati; Actinomycetota; Actinomycetes; Micrococcales; Promicromonosporaceae.